RNAcentral lists this ribosomal RNA (465 nucleotides) under Vreelandella stevensii. RNAcentral describes it as "partial 16S ribosomal RNA". It matches the Rfam family "Bacterial small subunit ribosomal RNA", at positions 338 to 795 of the family's 1533-position model. Lineage: Bacteria; Pseudomonadati; Pseudomonadota; Gammaproteobacteria; Oceanospirillales; Halomonadaceae. The record is from RNAcentral.
CCUACGGGUGGCUGCAGUGGGGAAUAUUGGACAAUGGGGGCAACCCUGAUCCAGCCAUGCCGCGUGUGUGAAGAAGGCCCUCGGGUUGUAAAGCACUUUCAGUGAGGAAGAACGCCUGGUGGUUAAUACCCAUCAGGAAAGACAUCACUCACAGAAGAAGCACCGGCUAACUCCGUGCCAGCAGCCGCGGUAAUACGGAGGGUGCGAGCGUUAAUCGGAAUUACUGGGCGUAAAGCGCGCGUAGGUGGCUUGAUAAGCCGGUUGUGAAAGCCCCGGGCUCAACCUGGGAACGGCAUCCGGAACUGUCAAGCUAGAGUGCAGGAGAGGAAGGUAGAAUUCCCGGUGUAGCGGUGAAAUGCGUAGAGAUCGGGAGGAAUACCAGUGGCGAGGGCGGCCUUCUGGACUGACACUGACACUGAGGUGCGAAAGCGUGGGUAGCAAACAGGAUUAGAUACCCUGGUAGUC